GGGCAUUGGAAUGGUAUGAUUUAUAACGAGGGGGGAGGUGAGAGGAAGUGGUGAUUAGGAACCACGGUAUGUUUAUUGGCAAGGAUGGUUGGGUUACUGUAUAACACUGUGUGUUGUUAUAUAUGUAUAUAUGUUAAUUUAUGCUUAUUUAUGUUUAACAAUUUUGGUUACAGAAAGAAGAUUUUGAAUAAAUAAAGUUAUGGAUGUGUUAUGCAGUAUUUAUUUAUGGUAUAAUAAAUGCUGUGGCCUGUUUCAUCCAUACUAAGUUGUCUGUCGUUAUUGGGAGGGUUUAACCGGGUUAAUUUAUGUAUAAGGUAGCAUCAGAAAAUUCCCCACUACGUACAUACAA
This 349-nucleotide long non-coding RNA is filed under the name Pelobates cultripes (western spadefoot toad). Lineage: Eukaryota; Metazoa; Chordata; Amphibia; Anura; Pelobatidae. The record is from RNAcentral.